GAUGAACGCAGGCGGCGUGCCUAAUACAUGCAAGUCGAGCGAACAGAUAAGGAGCUUGCUCCUUUGACGUUAGCGGCGGACGGGUGAGUAUCACGUGGGUAACCUACCCAUAAGACUGGAAUAACUCCGGGAAACCGGGGCUAAUGCCGGAUAAUAUUUAGAACCGCAUGGUUCUAAAGUGAAAGAUGGCCUUGCUAUCACUUAUGGAUGGACCCGCGCCGUAUUAGCUAGUUGGUAAGGUAACGGCUUACCAAGGCAACGAUACGUAGCCGACCUGAGAGGGUGAUCGGCCACACUGGAACUGAGACACGGUCCAGACUCCUACGGGAGGCAGCAGUAGGGAAUCUUCCGCAAUGGGCGAAAGCCUGACGGAGCAACGCCGCGUGAGUGAUGAAGGUCUUCGGAUCGUAAAGCUCUGUUAUUAGGGAAGAACAAAUGCGUAAGUAACUGUGCGCGUCUUGACGGU
This 466-nucleotide ribosomal RNA is filed under the name uncultured bacterium. RNAcentral describes it as "bacterial SSU rRNA". It matches the Rfam family "Bacterial small subunit ribosomal RNA", at positions 28 to 476 of the family's 1533-position model. The record is from RNAcentral.